RNAcentral lists this ribosomal RNA (398 nucleotides) under uncultured Glomeromycotina. RNAcentral's name for it is "SSU rRNA". It matches the Rfam family "Eukaryotic small subunit ribosomal RNA", at positions 569 to 971 of the family's 1831-position model. Lineage: Eukaryota; Fungi; Glomeromycota. The record is from RNAcentral.
AGCAGCCGCGGUAAUUCCAGCUCCAAUAGCGUAUAUUAAAGUUGCUGCAGUUAAAAAGCUCGUAGUUGAAUUUCGGGGUCAGCAGGUUGGUCGUGCCACUGGUAUGCACUGGCUUCGCUGAUUCCUCCUUUCUGAAGAACUGUAAUGUCAUUAAUUUGGUGUUGCAGGGAAACAGGACUGUUACUUUGAAAAAAUUAGAGUGUUUAAAGCAGGCUAACGCUUGAAUACAUUAGCAUGGAAUAAUGAAAUAGGACGUUCGAUCCUAUUUUGUUGGUCUCUAGGAUUGACGUAAUGAUUAAUAGGGAUGGUUGGGGGCAUUAGUAUUCAAUUGUCAGAGGUGAAAUUCUUGGAUUUAUUGAAGACUAACUACUGCGAAAGCAUUUGCCAAGGAUGUUUUC